CCUACGGGAGGCAGCAGUGGGGAAUAUUGGACAAUGGGCGAAAGCCUGAUCCAGCCAUGCCGCGUGUGUGAAGAAGGCCUUCGGGUUGUAAAGCACUUUCAGUGGGGAAGAAAGCCUUGGGGCUAAUACCCUCGAGGAAGGACAUCACCCACAGAAGAAGCACCGGCUAACUCCGUGCCAGCAGCCGCGGUAAUACGGAGGGUGCGAGCGUUAAUCGGAAUUACUGGGCGUAAAGCGCGCGUAGGCGGUCUGAUAAGCCGGAUGUGAAAGCCCCGGGCUCAACCUGGGAACGGCAUCCGGAACUGUCAGGCUAGAGUGCAGGAGAGGAAGGUAGAAUUCCCGGUGUAGCGGUGAAAUGCGUAGAGAUCGGGAGGAAUACCAGUGGCGAAGGCGGCCUUCUGGACUGACACUGACGCUGAGGUGCGAAAGCGUGGGUAGCAAACAGGAUUAGAUCCCCCAGUAGUC
RNAcentral lists this ribosomal RNA (465 nucleotides) under Vreelandella stevensii. Its description in RNAcentral is "partial 16S ribosomal RNA". It matches the Rfam family "Bacterial small subunit ribosomal RNA", at positions 338 to 795 of the family's 1533-position model. The record is from RNAcentral. Lineage: Bacteria; Pseudomonadati; Pseudomonadota; Gammaproteobacteria; Oceanospirillales; Halomonadaceae.